RNAcentral lists this long non-coding RNA (1421 nucleotides) under Felis catus (domestic cat). Its description in RNAcentral is "lncRNA (ENSFCAG00000043410.2)". Lineage: Eukaryota; Metazoa; Chordata; Mammalia; Carnivora; Felidae. The record is from RNAcentral.
UUUCCUCCGAGGCCCUUGUAACUGCCACCAAGUAAACAGUACCGGAGAUGCGCUGAUGUCCCUUGGAGAACUGACGCGCGGCUUGGGACUUUAUUUUCUUUACUCAGAUAAUGAAACAUACACAAGCUUGUGUUUCCCUCCUUGCUGUGGCUACCAGAGAGCUCGCUACACUUCAGCUCAGUAAUUCCAUCACCUUGGCUUCCUCCUCCUCCCGCUUGAAGUUUUCAAUUUUCUAUUCCCAGUUUUAGCAACCUUGUUGAACCGCAUGUCUUUCAUUGGAUGCUGCCUCAAAUCCUUUUGAGGAGCUGACAGAGUAUAAAUUAUAAAUAAAAAUAAAUCCCGCUGAAAUCUUCCCAUUGUAGCUUUCUUAUUUCUGGAGUUAUCUGAAGUCUUGAUGCAGCGUUUGUAAUAAAUUCAACACAGAACAUUUUAUGCACCGACAGGUUUUUUAAAUUUCUGUUUCUGCAAAGGAUCCUGGGUUGCUAUAAUCCUGGACUCACCGCCGAAAAUUUUUCAAGGGAAAGCAGUUUGUAAAUACUGUUACUUUGAGCAGUGGCUGUUUGCAACACCUCACCUAAAUCUCAGCAAGUAUUGCUUAAAAUUUGGGGAUUAUUCUCAGCUAGCCUGGGAUCACUGAAGUGGGGGGGGGGAGGCGUGGAGGUGGGAAAAUGUUGCAUCAGGUCAUUUCUGGUUGGAGAAGAACGGUCUUGAGGAAAGCAUGCUUUAGCACAGACGUGCUAAAAAGAAAUGACAUUUCUUUUCUUUCUGCCGUCCAGAGAGGGACCAAAGGAAGAAGGGAUGUCCUGGCAGGUAGAACAGGGCUUGCACAGAGCUAGUGCAAUGUGCACGGUAGAAAAAGGACAGAUAAGCAAACGAGGGAGAAAAGCCACCUGACGUCCCGGCUUCUGUCAGUAACCGUAUCAGCGUCUCGGUGUACCCACAGCCACACUUUGCGCUGGGUUGCAAACGGAACAUCCCUCUCUGCGGCGGAAGACGCACCCAGGAGUCCCCAGGCCCCGCCGGCGGAGCGUCGUGGGCCCCUGUCCCCAAGGCCGGCACCGCCCACCCCCGCAGUCAGCUCUGCUGUGAGGGCUCCGCCCUGCCGCAGCUCCCAAGGCUCCAUUUUGUUCCUUUCAACAGCACUCGGGAGAGCACCCCAUUCCCGUCCCUUUCCUCUCGUCUUCCCUGCCCACCUUUGAGUUGAAACAAGUCUGCCCUUUGUAGAGUGGUUCUUCUCCCUUGUGACUUUUUUUUUUAAUGUUUUAUUCGUUUUUGAAAGCGAGAGACAGAGGGUGUGGGGGAGGGGCAGAGAGAGGGAGCCGUGGAAUCUGAAGUAGGCUCCGGGCUCCAGGCUUCCAGCUGUCAGCACAGAGCCCCACGCAGGCUCGAACUCAGGAACCAUGAGAUGAUGACCUGAGAUC